This 254-nucleotide ribosomal RNA is filed under the name uncultured bacterium. Its description in RNAcentral is "partial 16S ribosomal RNA". It matches the Rfam family "Bacterial small subunit ribosomal RNA", at positions 524 to 776 of the family's 1533-position model. The record is from RNAcentral.
UACGUAGGGGGCGAGCGUUGUCCGGAUUUAUUGGGCGUAAAGAGCUCGUAGGCGGUUCGAUAAGUCGGACGUGAAAUCUCCACGCUCAACGUGGAGGGGCCGUUCGAUACUGUCGUGACUCGAGUCCGGUAGGGGAGUGUGGAAUUCCCGGUGUAGCGGUGAAAUGCGCAGAGAUCGGGAAGAACACCCGUGGCGAAGGCGGCCAGCUGGGCCGGUUCUGACGCUGAGGCGCGAAAGCGUGGGGAGCAAACAGG